RNAcentral lists this unclassified non-coding RNA (398 nucleotides) under soil metagenome. Its description in RNAcentral is "partial contains 5.8S ribosomal RNA, internal transcribed spacer 2, and large subunit ribosomal RNA". The stretch from base 1 to 120 matches the Rfam family "5.8S ribosomal RNA", at positions 37 to 154 of the family's 154-position model. The record is from RNAcentral.
UGAAGAACGCAGCGAAAUGCGAUACUUGGUGUGAAUUGCAGAAUCCCGUGAACCAUCGAGUCUUUGAACGCAAGUUGCGCCUCAAGCCAUUAGGUUGAGGGCACGUCUGCCUGGGCGUCACAUAUCGUUGCCUGAUGCCAGUUUCCUCGUGAUGGGUGACUGUGCAGGGCGAAUGAUGGCUUCCCGUGAGCAUUGUUGCCUCAUGGUUGGUUGAAAAUUGAGUCCUUGGUAGGGAGCGCCGUGAUAGAUGGUGGUUGAGUGACGAACGAGACCCAAUCAUGUGAGACCCCUAGCGAAUUUGGCCUUCAUGACCCACAUGCGUCUUUGGAACGCUCAUGACGAGACCUCAGGUCAGGCGGGGCUACCCGCUGAGUUUAAGCAUAUCAAUAAGCGGAGGA